Molecule: long non-coding RNA, 2690 nt
Organism: Capsicum annuum
Lineage: Eukaryota; Viridiplantae; Streptophyta; Magnoliopsida; Solanales; Solanaceae
Exons: 3
Source: RefSeq, a predicted model, not a curated record
UCUCGCCUUUUAGAUAUUUUAUUUAAUUUUGUGCCUGUUAACCAAUGUUUCUUAAUAUUCUUUCUGGCUUUGACACUUUCGGCUUUCUGACAUUUAAGAUAUGUUGCUCGGACUCUUCAAAAAUGUCAACAAGCACGUUUCAGAUCCUCCAAAAGUAGGGAUUGUUUGGAGGUAUCCAACAUGGGUUCAACAACACUUUUGGAGAGUCUAAGCAACAUAACAUAUAAGAGGAAAUAGACAACACACACUUAUACUUAGGAGUAUUAUAAUCAAUAAGCUUUUACCUAAUUCAGUUAACCAUGCAAAAUAGUAUCUUUCAUAUUAUGUUUAUAUACUAUUUUGCAGGUGAAGCUGUUUUUGUAGAUGGCAUUCCUUUACCACUAAACUACCUGCAUGGAGCAAUUAAGUUAAGGCAUAGAGAUUAGAGGUGCAAAAUCCUCCUCUGGUAUGACUUACUCUAAUACAUUCUUUGAAAUUCCAAACAAAAUUUUUCCAGUAAUAUCUGCUCUUCCCCUUUCUCUAAAGGAAUAUAGUACUUCAGAAAAGAACUAUCUCAGUACACAUCACAUGCAUUAGGAAUCAGUUUUGGUAAUUUACAUAAGAAACUAUAAUGAUGUCUUUAAUUAUAUCUUUUGUCAACUUUCUUUUCAAUUAUGUCAUUCCUUAAAUAUGUACUCCCUCCGUUUCAAAAAGAAUGACCUACUUUGACUUGGCACAAAGUUUAAGAAAAUAAAGAAGACUUUUGAAUCUUGUGGCCUUAAAUUAAAGUUGUGCCAAAUUUGCCAAAAUGUCAUUUAAUCUUGUGGUCCUAAACAUUUCGUUGAAAUUAAUGUAUUGCCAAAAAAGAAAAGGGGUUAUUCUUUUUUAAAUGGACUAAAAAGGAAAGCAGAUCAUUCUUUUUGAAAUGGAGGGAGUAUUUUUUAUCAAAAAAUGAAGGAGAAAGAGUGAACUAUAUAGAUUUUUCAGAUUUGAUUCAGUAAGAUGAAAGGCUAAAAAAUCUAAGUAGGGAUAAAGAUGCCCCAUCUCAUUGGGGAUGAAGAACGAAUACCAUCCUGAUGUAAUACAUCUAUUUUUAAGUUGUCGUAUCUGGCAGCGAACGAAGAAUAAGAAUAAAAGAGAUCAGCCCACAAGUAAGUAUAAUUUUCUGAUGCUCACAUUAUUUUUGCUUUUUUUGCCCUCCCCAGACCUCACUAUGUGGGAAUUCACUGGGUUUGUUGUUGUUGUUCUCAAAAGAAUGGAAAGUUUCACUAGCAAUGUUUGCAACAUGAUUUCUUUUCCAAUUUUAUUUCGGAGAGUAGGUUAAAACAACAACAACAAAAUCAGUAUAUCCCACAAAUGGACGCAGUCCAUACCAUUAUCUCAGAGAUGAGGUAGAAAUGUUGUUUCCGAAAGACCCACUGGCUCAAGACGAAAUAUUUUAUCGAAGGAUAUACUAUAAGAAUAAGACACAGUAGGUAGAAAGUAGAAACAAACAACAAAUAAUAACAAAUGAUUCCCUUGCUUGGAAAACCCUGAUCCAUCCCUUACAUGCUGCUGUGUUAAUCAGAUUAGUCAUCCCCUCUAUGGAUAAGAUGAAUAAAAAGGGGAGAGGAGAUCUCCCUAUCUCAAACCCGUUUGAAAGGGGAAAAACCAGUAGAUGCUCUGUGGAUUUGAGUAGAGAACCUCACCGUAAUAAGAAACUCUAGCAGUUACUUCUUCAUGUCCAUUUUAAAUGGCAUUUUAAGAUUUUCCACACCCUUUAAUAAAACUAGAUAAUAGCAUUAACUAUAAGGGGUUAUUUGACUAAGUUACCCUUUAUAUCAUCACUUCAAAUUACCAUUAUUCUCUUCUUAGACAUGUUAGGUCAUCUAUAGGAGCACAGGUUGAUUUGGUAAACAGAGUUGAUACCAUCUUGGUUUCCUUAAAUGGAUACAUUUAAAGUCUACCAGAGUUAGUAGGGUCUUUGUUGAGUGUUUAUUAUUUGUUGUUGUUGUACUAAUUUCUCUGUAGGUGUAGAAAAGAUCAAAUCUGUGUUGUAUUAAUGACUUUGUUCAGGUAGUUGAAAACUCAACUUUGGCAACUCUCUUGCGUGUUGUUGGAAGUGAACUGAUUCAGAAAUACUUGGGAGAUGGGCCUAAAUUGGUGAGGGAGCUCUUCAGAGUUGCAAAUGAUCUCUCACCUUCUAUCGUCUUCAUUGAUGAGAUUGGUGCAGUCGGUACCAAGAGGGUUGUGUCUGGCAUCAUUAACUUGAAGAUUGGAAUAUUAUGGAUUUCUGUUAAUUAACGUCUUUAUUUAUCCGUACGAUGCAAAUUCUGGUGGUGAACGUGAGAUCCAGAGGACCAUGUCAGAGUUGUUGAACCAGCUAGAUGGUUUUGAUUCCAGAGGAGAUGUUAAGGUGAUUCUUUCUACAAAUAAAAUCUCGAGUCUUGAUCCUGCCCUUUUGCGACCUAGUAGAAUAGACAGGAAGAUUGAGUUCCCUCUUCAUGAUAUUCAAACAAGGAGGCGGAUUUUCCAGGAUAUCAGAUACACAUAGCAAGGAUGACUUUGGCUAAUAAUGUCAACCUAGAAUAAUUUUUUAUGACCAGGGAUGAAUUUUCUGGAGCUGAUAUCAAGGCAAUAUGUACUGAAACUUGAUUGCUCGCUCUAAGUGAACAACGUAUGAAGGUGACUCAAGCAGAUUUCAAGAAGGCGAAAGAUAAGGUAAUGUUCAA